This is a long non-coding RNA of Cucumis melo (muskmelon), 1828 nucleotides long. RefSeq lists it as uncharacterized. The record is from RefSeq and is a predicted model, not a curated record. Lineage: Eukaryota; Viridiplantae; Streptophyta; Magnoliopsida; Cucurbitales; Cucurbitaceae. The transcript has 4 exons.
CCAUUUUGGUAUAAAAUAUUAAGUAUAUGUCAAUUUAUUAAACAAUUUGUAAAUAUAGCAAAUUUUUUAUUUUUUUUAAUAUAUUCCAAUAUUGCCCUUGUUUUAAAAAGGAUAUUGGUGCAACUUUCUCCUCCUCCAUUUUCACCAUCAUUCCCCUUCUCCACGAUUUUCUCCCUUCUUCAUCUUUACCACCGUUUCUGUGAUUUUCUCCACGUUAAGAACACCUUCUUUUGCCUCCAGCGACGCCUUCUUCCGCCUCCAACGACGCCUUCUUCCGCCUCCAACCACAACUUCUUCCGCCUCCAACCACACCUUCUUCCACCUCCAACCACACCUUCUUCCGCCUCCAACCAGUCGUCAUCUUAUUGUCUAUGAUUUUCUCCUACUUUCGUUAAAUCAUCUGCUACUAUAAAGCGUGGAGGGCAAAGGAACUUGUUAUGAAUUCUUUGAAUGGUGAAGUAAAAGAAUCUUAUGCCUUGAUUCCAAACUUUUUUAUGAAACUAAAAGAAAUUAACCCAGGUUCAUUCACUGCUUAUGAAACUGAUACAGAAGGACAUUUUAAGUACUGUUUUAUGGCUAUUGGAGCAUGCAUUGAAGGAUGGAAAUAUUGUAGGCCCAAUAUAUCAGUUGACGGUACAUUUUUAAAAUCUAAAUAUGGUGAAACUCUUUUGACAGCCUCAACAAUUGAUGGUAAUAAUCAAAUUUUUCCAUUGGCCUUUAGUAUUGUAGAUUCUGAAAAUAAUGCAUCCUAGAGAUGGUUUUUUGAGAAUAUAAAGAAUAGUUUAGGGGAUCGGGAAGAUCUAGUGGUAAUAUCUUAUCGACAUUUAAGUAUCCCAAAAAGUGUUCAUAAUGUUUUUUCAAAUACUUAAUAUUGCGUUUGUUUGCAACACCUUCUAAAAAUUUGAAGUUCAUAUAUAAGGACCCUAUAAUUGAUAAGCUCUUUUUUAGAUGUGGAAAAACAUAUACAGUUGUUGAUUUUGAGACUAAUAUGAGAUGGAUGAAGUCUAUGUAUCCUAGUAUACGAGACUAUCUUAGUAAGGUUAGUUUUGAAAAGUGGGCUCGAGCAUACUGUACAUGGAAAAGAUAUCAAAUGAUGACUACAAAAAUUUUAGAAAGCUUAAAUGCAGUUCUAAAAGAAUCUAGAGAUUUUCUUGUUGCAGCAUUACUCGAUUCUAUCAGACAAAUACUUCAAAAUUGGUUUUAUGAUCGGAGAUAAGUUGAAUGUUGUAUGAGAAUUGUUUUAACUUGUUGGGCUGAGGGAGAAUUACGAAUACAACAUCAAAACUCAAGAAGCUUCACAGUUAAUGCUAUUAAUGAUGUUGAAUUUCAAGUGAUUAAUGGAAGAAAACAAUUUAUUGUAUGGUUAGAUUGCAAAUCAUGUACUUGUCGCGUUUGGGAUCUUGAUGAAAUUCCAUGCGCCCACGUUCUUGCUGUUCUUUGUCGGCGUAAUAUGAAUACUUACUCUUUUGUUUCCAAGUAUUUUUUGUCAAGUACUUUGAUUUCAACUUAUACUGGAUCAGUUCAUCUGGUUGAGAACCAUGCUAAUUGGAAGUCUAUUGGGAUUGAGAAUAACAUACUACCUCCAACUUUCAAGCGUCGAGCAGGACGACCGCGAAAACAAAGAAUACUAUCAAUUGGCGAGAAGAAAAGUCACUCAAGAUGCAUUCAUUGUCAUCGUGCUGGUCACAAUCGUAGAAAUUGCAAAUUUACCAUUUUUAGAGUGACGUGAUAUUAUGUUUUUUAUAAUAAUCUUUUAGCUUUAGCAUAUAGAGCAUUUAUUUUGUGUGUGUAGUAAAUACUUUCUAUUUGUUUGACUCAAACCGUUCAA